Anaerolineae bacterium CG1_02_58_13 is the source of this 138-nucleotide non-coding RNA. The record is from Rfam. Lineage: Bacteria; Bacillati; Chloroflexota; Anaerolineae.
UCACUGGUGAAAGUCCAGUUCUGGUAAGGGUCAGGCCGCCAGAUAGCAGGCCCUUCGGCGAUGCAGUCGGGUGACUGAUUGUGUCGAAGCGUUGUAACCCUUCGAGAAGAAGGAGCAAAACAGCAGCCCGUAACAUAA